Harmonia axyridis is the source of this 73-nucleotide non-coding RNA. Lineage: Eukaryota; Metazoa; Arthropoda; Insecta; Coleoptera; Coccinellidae. The record is from the annotation of a RefSeq genome assembly.
UGCUCGGUAGCUCAGUUGGUGGAGCACUGGACUCGUGAUUCGGAGGUUGCAGGUUCGAACCCCGCUCGAGGAA